Long non-coding RNA from Scatophagus argus, 1550 nucleotides. RefSeq lists it as uncharacterized. The record is from RefSeq and is a predicted model, not a curated record. NCBI's taxonomy places the organism in Eukaryota, Metazoa, Chordata, Actinopteri, Scatophagidae. The transcript has 4 exons.
UGUAGCUUUGCUUUUGUUUAUCCUGAUUGCUUUCUCCCUCCUAAUGUGUGUCACCUGUGUCUCAUUGUCUUGCCUAUUUAGUCCUUGUCUUCCCAGUCACAUGUGUCAGUGUGUUGUAUUGUCUUGUGGUUUCAUGCCAGGAAUGAUUUUGUCACAUCUUGCCUUGCCAUGAAUUUUCCCUCAGUUUUUUCCGUUGAUCCCAUGCCACACUAAGUAUGCAGAUGGCUCGAUAAGGACCGGAUGGUUCGCAGCAGCUGCUCUGGUACCCCAUACUCCCACAGUCACCCCCCCAGAGGACUCCACAAGGGACACAGUUGGAGCCUUGUUCAAGUCCACAAAACACAUGUAAAAUGGAUCAGUAAACUCACAUAAUCAGCCAGCUAUUCCACCAUAAGAACCAAAGAGUUUCUGGAUGGAACCCUUUCAAGGAGUCAGCACAUACAAGCCCCUGCCUUUACCUGCCACCUGGCACAGAGCGCACCUGGCCCCAAAGCCUAUCCCCAAAGAAUCACCACCUUAACGCAGUGGAGGUGUUUGUGUGCUCCUUCCUGUGGUCCUGGCAGCUGUGUUGUCAGGGGCAGGCCACACUAGGAGCAAAGUCCCCGAAUGAACAGGCCACAAAAGAGCUGCAGCACUUCGCCCCAAAUAGAAAAGAAUCAGUACCUGGCAGGAAUCUUUGCCACCCAUCGGAGAUCCAGCACACAGCAUGUUUGAGGUUGUGCUCACUUAACACCACCUUCAUUAUGCUGCUCCUGAGGGCCACAAAUACACAUCAGCUCCAGUUCUCAGCUUGAACCUUGGGACAUGAGGGCAUCUGGGAUGGGAACACCUUUGCACGGUCAUCAUCAACGUCCCCCACAUUAUGGACAGAAGAAAUGUUCCUAACCUUGUUGAUGGGAUAAAAUUCACUUAAACUAAUUUGCCGUCAUGCGAAUUUUCUUGCUUGUUUAUUAGUGGAUAUAAUCAGAAAAAAAAAUCACAGCUUCAGUUUGAUUUACCUGUUUCCCUUUUGUUUGAACAAAGAACGCAGAUUAAAACCAGGUGAAUGACGUUAUCAUUUUACUCAUUAAUUGUUUUUUAAAUCCAUAUGGAUUAAGCGAUAAGUGAAAUCUUGUUUUUCUCUCUGGCUGUACUUUCUGUGCUCCUCUUUACGACGGGCUGCCAGCAGUUCACAGGCUACGAACCCACUGAACACGUUUUUACACUGUAAAAAAUGUAGCAUGGGAAUGGAUUAUUCAGUGAUUUACACAUAGACCUGAACUAGUAGCUAUCAAUAAAUCAGUUACUUCAUAAUAGUAAAACGUGAUCUUGAUAGAGCUACUAUUACCACAUCUACGAUCCAUAAGCUCUUGUUUGGAAAGCCCCUCAAAACAAGUAGUUCACAUUUAGUUUAUGAAAUCGCUCAGAGCUAAAACCCAAAGGGGCAGCAAAUCACAUUUGAGAGGAUGGGGUGAAAUUAAUCGUUUGACAAAAUUAAUUUUUUGUCAGUUUACUUCUUUGUCAAUGGAUUUAGAUGGGUGAAAAACUACAUUAAGGCACUGAUCAGAUUU